UCCGUAGGCGGUGUGGCAAGUCGGAAGUGAAAUCUCUGGGCUUAACUCAGAGGCUGCCUCCGAAACUGCCGUGCUAGAGUGCGAGAGAGGCAAGUGGAAUUGCGGGUGUAGCGGUGAAAUGCGUAGAUAUCCGCAGGAACAUCCGAGGCGAAAGCGGCUUGCUGGAUCGCAACUGACGCUGAGGGACGAAAGCUAGGGGAGCAAACAGGAUUAGAUACCCUGGUAGUCCUAGCCCUAAACCAUCAGGACUUGGGGUUUGCCCUGUACGGGGCAAGUCCCGUAGCUAACGCGUUAAGUCCUGCGCCUGGGGAGUACGGUCGCAAGGCUGAA
Molecule: ribosomal RNA, 330 nt
Filed under: uncultured bacterium
Lineage: Bacteria
Description: bacterial SSU rRNA
Rfam family: Bacterial small subunit ribosomal RNA
Source: RNAcentral